CCCCCCCCCCCCAGUGGACGGGGACCCCCACUUCGUGGCCAGCGUGCGGGGGGCGCCGCAGCCCCUCUGCUUCACCCUCGACGGCCGCCCGGGCGACGUCCUGCAGCUGCUCACCGACCGGCGCCUCGGGCUGAGGGUCCACGGGCACCUGGUGGGCGCCCCGCCGUGGCCCCGCGCCCCGUCCCGACCCCGCACCUUCCUCGACGCCCUCACCCUCUCGGCGGGCGCCGCCGCCGUCGCCGUCACCCCGCGGGGGAUCCGCGUCACUGGGGGGGGGGCCCCCCCGGUCUCCCUGCCCUUCUCCAGCCCUGCCAGGCUCCGCCGCCCCCCCCUGACGCUGCAGGUGGGCCGGGGGGGCCGCCUCCACCUCCUCCUGGGCCCCCGCUUGAGAUUCGGGGUGCUGCGCCACCGCUACGGCCGCCCCGGCGCCCUGCAGCGCGACCACCUCGGCUUCUACGUCCGCGACGGCGCCGGCCUGUCCCCAAAAACGGGGGGGCUCCUAGGGCGGCUGCGGGGCGUCCGGCUGGCUGCUUCGGGGACGCCGGGGACGGCGCGGCUGCAGCGGGGCGAGGUGGGGGUGACAGCCACGCUGGUGGCCAAAAGGGGGCCGGGGGGGGCCCCGCACCCCAGCUGCUGGCUGGUGCCGCGCCCCGAGGUGCUGGCGCUGCUGGGGGGGCCCUACGGGGCUUUCCUGGCCCCCCCUUCGGUGCUGGGCUGAAGGGGGGCAUAAAAAACAAACAAAAACAAACUGGGGAGGGCCCCCCCCAAAGGCACCAGCGUCACCGCCCCGAAAUCUGCAGCGGGCGGCCCCGUUUUUGGGGGGAUUUCCCCAUUUUUGGGGGGAUUUCCCCAUUUUUGGGGGGAUUUCCCCAUUUUUGGGGGGAUUUCCCCAUUUUUGGGGUGCCGACAUAAGGUGAACCCCCUAACCCCCCCCCUCACCCCCCUCAAAAAAUUGGGGACCUCUCU
Molecule: long non-coding RNA, 966 nt
Filed under: Anser cygnoides (Swan goose)
Lineage: Eukaryota; Metazoa; Chordata; Aves; Anseriformes; Anatidae
Description: lncRNA (ENSACDG00005016510.1)
Source: RNAcentral